GGGUCAAUGAUGAGAGCUCAUAAUGUCUUGAAGACAGAUGAUGAUGUAGAAAUCAUGCUCACUAGGAUUACACUGAGGCUC
Small nucleolar RNA from Vulpes vulpes (red fox), 81 nucleotides. Its record names the gene SNORD115. It matches the Rfam family "Small nucleolar RNA SNORD115". Rfam says of the family: HBII-52 is a member of the C/D class of snoRNAs, which contain the C (UGAUGA) and D (CUGA) box motifs. Lineage: Eukaryota; Metazoa; Chordata; Mammalia; Carnivora; Canidae. The record is from Ensembl.